Prosopis cineraria is the source of this 1698-nucleotide RNA transcript. RefSeq lists it as uncharacterized. Lineage: Eukaryota; Viridiplantae; Streptophyta; Magnoliopsida; Fabales; Fabaceae. The transcript has 2 exons. The record is from RefSeq and is a predicted model, not a curated record.
AGCCACCAGAUUGGUUAUCCAUGGAUUUAACGGCCACGAUCGCGGAACACACAUCAGCAAGAUGCUCGACCUUUAUAGCCUCCAUUGUGAAUGCUCAUUCCUAUAACAUCUUAAUAUCCAGAAGGGCAAAAAUUAAACAGAAAGGGCUAGCGGCAAGGGGAGGAGGAGAAUGGUAUUUUACUGUUUUCUGGUGGACCAAACACGACGAGUGCUUCAGAGCAAGCCCGCGGCGGGCACGUGCUCGCGGUGUGGCGGAGGAGCCAGAGUGGCGGACAUAAGAACGGCCACCAGAUUCUGUUAUGUCCCAUUUUAUUGGAAAUCUUGGAGAGCCGUCGUCUGCACUUCUUGUGGAGCCGUUCUUCGUUCUUACCGUUAGAUGCUCUAUCAUUCCCAUUUGGCUUUUUCCAACCACGUACGCACUUUUAACUUUCUCCCAGGUUUCCCCUAUUCGUUCUGUCUGAUCAAAUCAUCUGUUUGUUUUUAACAAUUUUUUUUUCUGUGACCUGAUAUUUAGUUUCUGUGCUUGUCCCUCUUGCUCGAGAAUCUGUCUAUCUCUAGCUUGAAAACAGGAGCAGAAGCACUCGAAAGAUCACUGGUUGGCUUUUGGUCAUGUUUUUCCUUGAGCAGGCAUAUUCUGCUUGUAGAGGAGGAGGAUAUAGUGUAUUAGUUUGCUUUCUAGACCUUUCUCAUUUUUUGCUGACGUGGCUGGUUUGUGGGCUCACUUUUUGUGACAUGUAGGCGUCUGACCACAAGUUGACCAUUUCUCUGUUCCUCUUCCCCCUCCAGUUCCAACAAGUCGACACCUUUCGAACCCCCAUCCGAAUUACCUACACCAACCUCAUCAUCGAAAUUCAUCAAAUGCUUGGUUUCCUCAGGCAGAAGAUUUUACCUCUCCCUACCUUCCCAGUAUUUCUAAUUCUAAUUCCCAUCACCCAAACAACAAAGCUCUCUGCUCUUUGUUCGUUUUUGUUUGUGGGUUGUUUAGAGGAAAAGGAAGAGGGAAAAUAGGAAGAACAAGAGGAGGAGGAGGUUGAAAUUCACAAAUAAUGUGAAGGAAAACGACGGAACCAAGAUGAAGAAUAAGGAUCUCUGAUAAAAACAGAGGAAGCAAAACAGAGCAUUGAGUAGUUGCAGAUACGAAAUCCCAGAAAUCUGAGGAAUGCCAGAGAAUUGAAUCGUUCUGUACAAUGGGGUUCUGACAGAUCGAGUGCACAGGCUGAAGUACUCUUGCUGAUGAAAUCGUCAUGGCCGUUACUGGGUUCAUCGAGAAAAUCAAGGCGAGAGAGAAAGCACGGGAAACUGGAAGAGACGAAGAAGACGACUUGAGGUGUCUGUCUGUGAAGCGUUUUCAUUAGUCGGGUUUAAUUUAGGAAUUAAUAAAUUAAGUAAUUUGUGUGUUUGUGGAGAAGGAGGAAUGAAAAAUCUAAAAGAGAAAUCUUGUGACGGUAAAUACAUAAGAGAGAAGGGGCUUUGUCCGAUUCACGAGGAGUGGAAGUGGAAGACAAGAAGGAAGAAAUUGUCAACCUGGUCAAACACAUUCGUGUCACAAGAAAUGGGCCUCACAAGCCAGAUACAACAGCAAUGAACGGAACAGAUCACGGUUGAUUGAUGGAGGAAAAAAUUUGUUCUUAACAAAAUAAUUCAAGGGCAAAAAUACUUCACUUUAUAAUAUAUAGAAUGUCUAAUACUUUUCAAGUA